Molecule: long non-coding RNA, 765 nt
Organism: Eriocheir sinensis (Chinese mitten crab)
Lineage: Eukaryota; Metazoa; Arthropoda; Malacostraca; Decapoda; Varunidae
Exons: 3
Source: RefSeq, a predicted model, not a curated record
AGUGUAAUGAGGUGCGCCAGAAGCUUCGUCGCCUGAGUCUGCACGUCACGUCUCCGUCUCUCCUGGGCCAGGUGUGGCAGGUGUGUGAUGAGCUGGAGGAGAGCAGGAUGAGGACCGGCGACAUGUGGGGACUCUUCCACUUGGGACGUCACUGCUUUCUGCCGGUGACGAGCCUACUGGCGACCUACUUCGUCAUUCUGGUGCAGUUCCACGCCUCCGAGGUGGUCACAGACUGCAUCCGGCCCUUUGCGAACUCGACCAUGGAGACCUCGACAUAUGAAUGAAGCUCUAGUCUCCUCGUAGUGGAUUAGACCAGCAUGCCAGCACAGAGGAGGGACUGUUGGAGUAAGUGAUGGGGAGAAAGGACGUGGAUUACAGGGAAAACAGUGAAAGGUAUACCAAUUCACAGAGAAGAAGAGGAAAAAAAGAAGAAAGAAGAAAGAAGAAGAAAGAAGAAGAAGAAAGAAGAAGAAGAAGAAGAAGAAAUGAUAGUGAUGAUAAUGAGAAGAGGGAAAAAAAGUAGGUAAGGAAGAAGAAAAAAAAAAAAAACCUCCAACACUCACAACAGUAGCAAAACGAAUAACAAUGACAAGAACAACAACUAAUAACAGCAACAAAUAAAAACACUACUACUACUACUACUAAUAAUAAUAAUAAUAAUAAUAAUAAUAAUAAUAAUAAUAGUUACAAAAUUAAGAUGAGCCCCAAAUUUGUGGUUUAUGAUAUAGUUAACUCCCUUCCCCUCCUCCCCUUCUUUCCUCUUUC